GGAAGCGUCACAGGCUGAUAACGUGACCUUUGCGCGCAGCUCAAUUAUUGCGCGGGCUGGGGGCGGGGCCUGCGGGGAAGGGACAGAGCCAAGCCCAGCCUUGAGCCAUCCUCGCCCCUGUGGCGGAAAUGGGAGGGUGCCUGGAGGAGUGGAGGGAUUGGAUUUACACCCUCUUUUCCCUCCGAAGCCUCCUUGGUGGGGGCGAAGAAAGACCAUCCAACCCUGCCAAAGGCAAAAGGAUUAAGGAUAAAUGAAAGCAAGAUAAUGUAGAAGAACUACUUAGCUGCUGGGUUUUUGGAGAUGAGUGAUUUUUUUUUGUAGGGAGAAAUUAUGAAACACAUUGAAAUGGACAAAAAAUUACUGAAUGUCUUCAAUGAAAAAACAGCCAUAGUUUGGCACACCGUCCCGGGCAUUCUGUUGCUAGAGGGGCUGUCCGCUUUUCUUUGUGGUGCUCUGCACAACUCGGCAGUUGCGGUUUUCCUGCCCUUGGGACGUGCAAUUAUGUUGUCCAGCCCGCUGCCAGAGGACAGCAGGAAGGGAGAUGUGUUGUCCACCCCACUGCCACUGGACCACUUCUAUACAUAGCUGGUUCUUCUGUCCAGCCCGCUGCCACUGGACUCUUUCCCCUCUGUCACCACUGGACUGUAAGCUCCUAAUACAAACCCAUGUCUCAUUUACUGGCUCUCCAGUCUCUUCUUGGCCUCUUGAACCUGGUACCUUCUCUAUUGAGCCACCAGAUGUUAUGCUCCAUCAAAAUGAAAUGAGUACAUUAAAGAGGAAAAUGUGGGAUGCAGAAAACAGGAUAUCCAACAUAAGUGAGAUGUGGAUGAAGACUCCAGAGAAUAAUAGAGAUUUCAGUAUGAAGACUGUACAUUAGGUGUAGAGGUCAACCAUUUCAGAUUGGAGCACGAUCAUCAUUUUUGCCUUCUGUAAUUCUACUGAGUUUUUAUCUUAAUGAAGCUACUUGAGGAUGUACUCCACCAAAAAAAAGGAGAAAACCAAGAGGAAGAGAUGAGAACCAAAAAACCAGAAAUCAAACUUAGGACAAAAGCCGAGGAAAUUUCAUAAGAUGAAAGCAAAAGGAAGUCUCAGGAUGACAGCUGUGCAGGGGGCCUAGGAAGCCACCAGUACUAAUAGAAGAGAAUGAAGGUAUCAGGGAGCAAGAAAGAAAUUAGCACUGAUAGGCUACCUAAUCGGGUAGAUCUGGC
This 1208-nucleotide long non-coding RNA is filed under the name Homo sapiens (human). Its description in RNAcentral is "HSALNT0300942". Lineage: Eukaryota; Metazoa; Chordata; Mammalia; Primates; Hominidae. The record is from RNAcentral.